CAAUGCUUUUGUUCUUUCAAUUGCAUAUCUCCUCAGUUUGAAGGUGGUUUAUGCUUGUGAUUGUCCUUCAAUGAAAUUCAACUGUCUUUAAUCAUCUGGCUGCUGGAAAUCAAUAUAGUGAAGUUCCUGUGAACAAGAACGUGAAGUGAAGGCCAAACUUUUGCAAAUGAUGGAAGCACGGUUUUCUACUGAAUUAGAUAGUACAAAGCAUUCUCAAGAUCUGCACUUUGAUUAUAGCUAUCAUCAGACAUAAACUCUAUAAGUUCAAUGCCAACAUCCAAGGACACUCGGGUUAAUCAAUGAAGAUCUGACAUCUGAUGAGUUGUUUUGCUGCUGCUGAUGAUGAUGGCUUGCGUUACAUCAUUAAACGACCAUGAAAUCAUGAUUUUUGGAUUCUGAAUAUAGCUUGGUUUGGGGAAACAUGAAUGGAGGUUUAUUAUUGCCUUGAAUUGUUGUGUAUUGAUUUCUUCAUCUAUACCUACUCAUUUUGUUAAUAGUUAACUUUUUUUUUUUAGUUUUUUAAAGUGUAAUAUUACAAGUUAUUGAGGCAAA
Chenopodium quinoa (quinoa) is the source of this 552-nucleotide long non-coding RNA. RefSeq lists it as uncharacterized. NCBI's taxonomy places the organism in Eukaryota, Viridiplantae, Streptophyta, Magnoliopsida, Caryophyllales, Amaranthaceae. The record is from RefSeq and is a predicted model, not a curated record. The transcript has 3 exons.